RNAcentral lists this ribosomal RNA (253 nucleotides) under uncultured bacterium. RNAcentral describes it as "partial 16S ribosomal RNA". It matches the Rfam family "Bacterial small subunit ribosomal RNA", at positions 524 to 776 of the family's 1533-position model. RNAcentral also lists the same sequence under 2 other names. The record is from RNAcentral.
UACGAAGGUGGCAAGCGUUGUUCGGAUUCACUGGGCGUACAGGGUGUGUAGGCGGUUUGGUAAGCCUUCUGUUAAAGCUUCGGGCCCAACCCGGAAAGCGCAGAGGGUACUGCCAGGCUAGAGGACGGGAGAGGAGCGCGGAAUUCCCGGUGUAGCGGUGAAAUGCGUAGAGAUCGGGAGGAAGGCCGGUGGCGAAGGCGGCGCUCUGGAACGUUACUGACGCUGAGACACGAAAGCGUGGGGAGCAAACAGG